Long non-coding RNA from Ruditapes philippinarum (Manila clam), 379 nucleotides. RefSeq lists it as uncharacterized. The transcript has 2 exons. The record is from RefSeq and is a predicted model, not a curated record. NCBI's taxonomy places the organism in Eukaryota, Metazoa, Mollusca, Bivalvia, Venerida, Veneridae.
ACCGUUGUGAGGAUCUAAUUAUUUUUCGAAAGAACACAGUUUACAAAGACGUCUGGACACAUUUGUAAAGAAUAUACAAUUAACAAUAUUUUUACACGAAUGACCACACAGUUAAAGAUUUUUCGAUAAUGGGGCUGGAAAAGCUAUACGGGAAUGACCAAUACAGAAAAACAAUAGAAAAUUUGUGGAAAAAUAAAUUAAGAACCUAUAGACCGUAUGGAGUUAAUACAAAAGAAUAACGCGGCAGACGGCAACCAACGCCACGGCGGGCGUCGUUCAUUGACGUUACGUCACUUCCAUUGUUUUGUUUGAUAUAUUUGUAUGUGAAAUAAAUGCUGCUGAAGAAGGCCGCAAGGCCGAAAGCUACGGCAAAUUUAAA